AGGGUCAUUAUGUACAGACUAUGAAGGCCUGGCUUCUUUUCCGGCUGACAUAUUUUUUCUUAAUGUCUUUUGCGCACUUGUUGUUUCCUGGGCGGGUUCGCCCGCCAGCAAGACCAAACCAUAAACCUUUAUUUAAUCCCCCAACCAUCAGCAAAGCUUGAAAGAAUGUAAUUAAUUACAACUUUCUGCCCUUUUCUCUUGGUUCGGGCCACUGUGAAUAACACAAUUCAAUGAUUCACUUAAUUCGAAUUGCAGAAUACGUGAAUCAUUUCAUCUUUGAACGCACAUUGCGCCCUUUGGUAUUCCCAGGGCAUGCCUGUUAAUUAAUUAUUUUGUUUUUACAGCUUCUGAUGGUGUUGGGUGUUUUUAACUCCUUAUUGUUGGGACACGGUGGCGGGCGAAUUGGCCACCGGCCUACUGGUGUCCGAACGAAAUGCAUAAUUUAAUCUUUGUAUCAGGAGAAAAGGACGGUAUUCCAUCUUUACUCUGUAUUGUUCCCUUUUGACGUUCACCUACGGAGACCUUCUUACUGAACUUAAGUCAUAUCAAUGACCAAAAGAA
RNAcentral lists this ribosomal RNA (561 nucleotides) under Bipolaris zeicola. RNAcentral describes it as "eukaryotic LSU rRNA". The stretch from base 180 to 330 matches the Rfam family "5.8S ribosomal RNA". Lineage: Eukaryota; Fungi; Ascomycota; Dothideomycetes; Pleosporales; Pleosporaceae. The record is from RNAcentral.